This 254-nucleotide ribosomal RNA is filed under the name uncultured bacterium. RNAcentral describes it as "partial 16S ribosomal RNA". It matches the Rfam family "Bacterial small subunit ribosomal RNA", at positions 524 to 776 of the family's 1533-position model. The record is from RNAcentral.
UACGUAGGGCGCAAGCGUUGUCCGGAAUUAUUGGGCGUAAAGAGCUCGUAGGCGGUCUGUCACGUCGGCUGUGAAAACCCGGGGCUCAACCCCGGGCCUGCAGUCGAUACGGGCAGACUGGAGUCCGGCAGGGGAGACUGGAAUUCCCGGUGUAGCGGUGAAAUGCGCAGAUAUCAGGAGGAACACCGGUGGCGAAGGCGGAUCUCUGGGCCAUUACUGACGCUGAGGCACGAAAGCGUGGGGGAUCAAACAGG